Molecule: ribosomal RNA, 503 nt
Filed under: uncultured bacterium
Lineage: Bacteria
Description: bacterial SSU rRNA
Rfam family: Bacterial small subunit ribosomal RNA
Source: RNAcentral
AUCCUGGCUCAGAUUGAACGCUGGCGGCAGGCCUAACACAUGCAAGUCGAAUGGUAACAGGGAAACAGCUUGCUGUUUCGCUGACGAGUGGCGGACGGGUGAGUAAUGUCUGGGAAACUGCCUGAUGGAGGGGGAUAACUACUGGAAACGGUAGCUAAUACCGCAUAACGUCGCAAGACCAAAGAGGGGGACCUUCGGGCCUCUUGCCAUCAGAUGUGCCCAGAUGGGAUUAGCUAGUAGGUGGGGUAACGGCUCACCUAGGCGACGAUCCCUAGCUGGUCUGAGAGGAUGACCAGCCACACUGGAACUGAGACACGGUCCAGACUCCUACGGGAGGCAGCAGUGGGGAAUAUUGCACAAUGGGCGCAAGCCUGAUGCAGCCAUGCCGCGUGUAUGAAGAAGGCCUUCGGGUUGUAAAGUACUUUCAGCGGGGAGGAAGGGAGUAAAGUUAAUACCUUUGCUCAUUGACGUUACCCGCAGAAGAAGCACCGGCUAACUCCGUG